GGGGACGACCCGGUUUCGACGGGGAUUACUGCAAGUGAUGUUGCGUGUCGAGGAUGGUCGUUGGCCUCGUUAAUCAUCCGACCAAGCCUUUAACUGGCAACAACAACAGCACCACCUUUGCUCUCGCUGCUUAAGUGAGACCAGCGCUCAGAAGCCCGGCCUUUGGCGUCUGAGUGAGCUGAACAAAAGAAGGCUAGCCCCCGUGACGCUCGGUAACGGACGGCGAAACCAAAUCGAGCUACGGUGCGGGAAGCCCGCCUGCAGGCCACACCCACACCCGACAAUUCAAGAGCAGGCUACACACGUAGAGACACGCUGAACGGAUCUUCGGACGGCAGUUCGACUCUGCCCGUCUCCACCA
Molecule: transfer-messenger RNA, 361 nt
Filed under: Deinococcaceae
Lineage: Bacteria; Thermotogati; Deinococcota; Deinococci; Deinococcales
Also listed under: 1 other name
Description: Deinococcus_B maricopensis Standard tmRNA
Rfam family: transfer-messenger RNA
About the family: Bacterial tmRNA, also known as 10Sa RNA or SsrA, is named for its dual tRNA and mRNA-like properties. Its role is to liberate the mRNA from a stalled ribosome. To accomplish this part of the tmRNA is used as a reading frame that ends in a translation stop signal.
Source: RNAcentral